AAAGAUAUUAGCAUAUUCUUCUGAAUAUACUUUAUUAACCCAUUCCGAGUACCUUACCCGUUGCUUCCGCGAGGCUGUCCUCACGGCCCUCUGAAGAUUUAUCUUUGGGGAGUCCUUGCGGAAGGUAUACAAUAAACUCUUGCAUUACCAUGUCAUCAUGUCUGAAUCUGUUUAAAACAAAUAUUA
This 186-nucleotide unclassified non-coding RNA is filed under the name soil metagenome. RNAcentral's name for it is "partial internal transcribed spacer 1". The record is from RNAcentral.